ACUGAUAGUUCCCUGAAGAAGAAAAAGGAAAUCCCUACAGUUUUGGUUAGAAGACACCCACAAUUCUGCUUGCACCUGACAACCUGUAUCAGCUAGAACAGGCCUUCCGCUUGCAAUGGCUAAAUUUUAGACCAGCAUCCUCUCCUCAUUUACUUUCCUGGCGGGACAGAGGUAUGGCUCUGGAAAGAGAACGCUUUUUCAAGGACAUCUUCUCCCCUCCGUCAUGAAGUUUUCCACAAGAGCUGCUGGUUAUGAACUCACGGAGCACAAAUCUGAAGUGGAGCAAGAAUAAGCAGCAACACUUUUUACUAUUUUACUUUUACAGAUUAAUCCACCGUAGAAAAGAUGAAUUCUGGUUGUUAGAAAGAACAGAAGGGCAAACUGCGAUUCCAAAAACUAGAAAAUGAGACAGAAGCAGGUAUAGCCAAAUGUGCACACUCUGCCAUUGCCCCAGAACUGGACUGGUGCUGCUGAAGGGUUCAAAAUGGGCAUGGAGGAAUUCUCUACUAUCAGAGCUCAACAGUUGCAGGUCAUCAGAACUUGUGACAUGUCUUCAACACCUCCCGGCAAUCAGUUGUCUUUGUCUCCUGUGCUUAAUCUCUCCCAUCCUGCCAUCUUCUCUUUAAGUUGUCACAAGUAAAACAGGCCUAGGCAUGUCUCCUUCUAAGAACUAAUUGUCUGGCCAGGAAUGGAUUCAGUUGAAAUGCUAAUAAAAUCCCCCCCCUCACAUUGAUACUGAGAUGGCUGAAGUCAUGCAGUGAGUCUUCUCUCUGGAAUUACACCUCUUGAUCCUUUUAAUUAAGAUUUUAUGAGACCCCGCACCCUGGGAAUGAAGAAAGCACUGUUAUUUUUAUCUGAAUUAUUGUUAUAAUAAAAAGGAAGCUGCUGGAUUCUAGGAGUCUCUCCU
Long non-coding RNA from Rhineura floridana, 907 nucleotides. RefSeq lists it as uncharacterized. Lineage: Eukaryota; Metazoa; Chordata; Lepidosauria; Squamata; Rhineuridae. The record is from RefSeq and is a predicted model, not a curated record. The transcript is spliced from 3 exons.